UAGCUUCUUCGCUACGCUCGGAAUUUAACAAUAUGUCUAUUAAUCAUCUGCUCAGAAUCAUAUUUCUUUAAAAAUGGUGUAUUAUUGCGUAUUGUAUUACUCUAAAUAUCUUCUAUUCCAACAUUACUUCUAAAACAGUAUCUCGCUCAUCAGCAGUAUCAGCCUAUUUUUUACCAACGGUUUCUCAGAAAUAAACAAAAAAUGGCAAAUUUUUCCUAUUUAUUAAAAAUACUACAAGAAAAAUAAAAAAAUUUACCAUCUCAAUUCACUAGUUAAAUCUAAGUUUUUAUUGGAGCGAGAUUUUAGUAGAAAAUUUGUUUACGCACCCACAUAUACAUAAAAAAAGGGUGAUACUGAGAACGGGUUAGGUAAUUGUUGUAGGUGGGAUACAUAAAGUUAUUUAAUUUGUACUUGUUAUCAACGAUAAGCCAUUGCUAACGGAAAACGAUUUGGAGCGAAGUUCU
This is a non-coding RNA of Cinara cedri, 464 nucleotides long. The record is from the annotation of a GenBank genome assembly. Lineage: Eukaryota; Metazoa; Arthropoda; Insecta; Hemiptera; Aphididae.